UGGGGAAUAUUGCACAAUGGGCGAAAGCCUGAUGCAGCAACGCCGCGUGAGUGACGAAGGUCUUCGGAUUGUAAAGCUCUGUCUUUUGGGACGAUAAUGACGGUACCAAAGGAGGAAGCCACGGCUAACUACGUGCCAGCAGCCGCGGUAAUACGUAGGUGGCGAGCGUUGUCCGGAUUUACUGGGCGUAAAGGGUGCGUAGGCGGAUGUUUAAGUGAGAUGUGAAAUACCCGGGCUUAACUUGGGUGCUGCAUUUCAAACUGGAUAUCUAGAGUGCAGGAGAGGAGAAUGGAAUUCCUAGUGUAGCGGUGAAAUGCGUAGAGAUUAGGAAGAACACCAGUGGCGAAGGCGAUUCUCUGGACUGUAACUGACGCUGAGGCACGAAAGCGUGGGUAGCAAACAGGAUUAGAUACCCUGGUAGUCCACGCCGUAAACGAUGAGUACUAGGUGUAGGAGGUAUCGACCCCUUCUGUGCCGCAGUAAACACAUUAAGUACUCCGCCUGGGGAAGUACGAUC
Molecule: ribosomal RNA, 517 nt
Filed under: uncultured bacterium
Lineage: Bacteria
Description: partial 16S ribosomal RNA
Rfam family: Bacterial small subunit ribosomal RNA
Source: RNAcentral